Molecule: ribosomal RNA, 401 nt
Filed under: uncultured bacterium
Lineage: Bacteria
Description: bacterial SSU rRNA
Rfam family: Bacterial small subunit ribosomal RNA
Source: RNAcentral
GAGUUUGAUCGUGGCUCAGGAUGAACGCUGGCGGCGUGCCUAACACAUGCAAGUCGAGCGAUUCUCUUCGGAGAAGAGCGGCGGACGGGUGAGUAACGCGUGGGUAACCUGCCCUGUACACACGGAUAACAUACCGAAAGGUAUGCUAAUACGAGAUAAUAUGCUUUUAUCGCAUGGUAGAAGUAUCAAAGCUCCGGCGGUACAGGAUGGACCCGCGUCUGAUUAGCUAGUUGGUAAGGUAACGGCUUACCAAGGCGACGAUCAGUAGCCGACCUGAGAGGGUGAUCGGCCACAUUGGAACUGAGACACGGUCCAAACUCCUACGGGAGGCAGCAGUGGGGAAUAUUGCACAAUGGGCGAAAGCCUGAUGCAGCAACGCCGCGUGAGCGAUGAAGGCCUUC